This 267-nucleotide long non-coding RNA is filed under the name Solanum tuberosum (potato). RNAcentral describes it as "long non-coding RNA (STUB_LNC007188)". The record is from RNAcentral. Lineage: Eukaryota; Viridiplantae; Streptophyta; Magnoliopsida; Solanales; Solanaceae.
GAUACGAAUAAAAUAUCAAAAUUUCACAUUUUUUCGUGACUGCCUGAAAAAUAUCAAAAAUUUUAAUUCGUAAACGUCCGAAAAACAUGAAAAUCAAGAAAAAGACAAAAAAACACGUCAAAAUUUUCUGAAUCACCCAGUCACCAUAGAAUAUCGAUACUAAUAAAAUAUCAAAAUUUCACAUUUUUUCAUGAAUGCCCGAAAAAUAUCAAAAAUAUUAAUACAUAAACAUUUGAAAGAUAUUAAAAUCAAGAAAAACCAUAAAAA